Molecule: ribosomal RNA, 492 nt
Filed under: uncultured bacterium
Lineage: Bacteria
Description: partial 16S ribosomal RNA
Rfam family: Bacterial small subunit ribosomal RNA
Source: RNAcentral
AAUGAACGCUGGCGGUAGGCCUAACACAUGCAAGUCGAACGGCAGCACAGUAAGAGCUUGCUCUUACGGGUGGCGAGUGGCGGACGGGUGAGGAAUACAUCGGAAUCUACUUUUUCGUGGGGGAUAACGUAGGGAAACUUACGCUAAUACCGCAUACGACCUACGGGUGAAAGCAGGGGAUCUUCGGACCUUGCGCGAUUGAAUGAGCCGAUGUCGGAUUAGCUAGUUGGCGGGGUAAAGGCACACCAAGGCGACGAUCCGUAGCUGGUCUGAGAGGAUGAUCAGCCACACUGGAACUGAGACACGGUCCAGACUCCUACGGGAGGCAGCAGUGGGGAAUAUUGGACAAUGGGCGCAAGCCUGAUCCAGCCAUACCGCGUGGGUGAAGAAGGCCUUCGGGUUGUAAAGCCCUUUUGUUGGGAAAGAAAAGCAGCAGGUUAAUACCCCGCUGUUCUGACGGUACCCAAAGAAUAAGCACCGGCUAACUUCGUG